RNAcentral lists this ribosomal RNA (404 nucleotides) under uncultured bacterium. Its description in RNAcentral is "partial 16S ribosomal RNA". It matches the Rfam family "Bacterial small subunit ribosomal RNA", at positions 28 to 526 of the family's 1533-position model. The record is from RNAcentral.
GACGAACGCUGGCGGCGUGCUUAACACAUGCAAGUCGAGCGGAGCGGCGAACGGGUGAGUAACGCGUGAGUAACUGCCCCCCUCUCUGGGAUAACAGUUGGAAACGGCUGCUAAUACCGGAUAGUGGGGGAUGACUCGCGUCCUAUCAGCUUGUUGGUGGGGUAGUGGCCUACAAAGGCGCCGACGGGUAGCCGGCCUGAGCGGGCGACCGGGCCCAGUGGGCUGAUAUAAGGCCCAAACGACUACGGGGGGCAGCAGUGGGGAAUAUUGCACAAUGGGCGAAAGCCUUAUGCAGCGAACCGCGUGGGGGAUGAAGGCUUUCGGGUUGUAAACCUCUUGCGCUAUCGAAAGGGUAGGUGGAGAAGAAGCGCCGGCUAACUACGUGCCAGCCGCCGCGGUAAUAC